RNAcentral lists this ribosomal RNA (497 nucleotides) under uncultured bacterium. RNAcentral describes it as "partial 16S ribosomal RNA". It matches the Rfam family "Bacterial small subunit ribosomal RNA", at positions 28 to 507 of the family's 1533-position model. The record is from RNAcentral.
GAUGAACGCUGGCGGCGUGCCUAAUACAUGCCAGUCGAGCGAACGGACGAGAAGCUCGCUUCUCUGAUGUUAGCGGCGGACGGGUGAGUAACACGUGGAUAACCUACCUAUAAGACUGGGAUAACUUCGGGAAACCGGUGCUAAUACCGGAUCAUAUUUUGAACCGCAUGGUUCAAAAGUGCAAGACGGCCUUGCUGUCACUUAUAGCUGGAUCCGCGCUGCAUUAGCUAGUUGGUAAGGUAACGGCUUACCAAGGCAACGAUGCAUAGCCGACCUGAGAGGGUGAUCGGCCACACUGGAACUGAGACACGGUCCAGACUCCUACGGGAGGCAGCAGUAGGGAAUCUUCCGCAAUGGGCGAAAGCCUGACGGAGCAACGCCGCGUGAGUGAUGAAGGUCUUCGGGUCGUAAAACUCUUUUAUUAGGGAAGAAAAGAUGUGUAAGUAACUGUGGACAUCUUGACGGUACCUAAUCAGAAAGCCACGGCUAACUACGUG